This 74-nucleotide transfer RNA is filed under the name Phrynosoma platyrhinos (Desert horned lizard). RNAcentral describes it as "tRNA-OTHER". The record is from RNAcentral. Lineage: Eukaryota; Metazoa; Chordata; Lepidosauria; Squamata; Phrynosomatidae.
GGCCCAGUGUGGUGUAGUGGUUUGAGUGUUGGAUUGUGACUCUGGAGAUCAGGGUUUGAUUCCCUGCUCAGCCA